Long non-coding RNA from Acanthochromis polyacanthus (spiny chromis), 986 nucleotides. RefSeq lists it as uncharacterized. The transcript has 3 exons. The record is from RefSeq and is a predicted model, not a curated record. Lineage: Eukaryota; Metazoa; Chordata; Actinopteri; Pomacentridae.
CAGCUGACAGAAUUGAUUUAUUCAUUUGUUGGAUUUGAAAUGCCAGAUAAUAGGAUUGGAAAAAAUGUGAGUGAAAAAAAGUGGGACGCUUUCGUCUUCUGGAAGCAGCAGCGAUCCUUGUUAGUUGCAACCUGUGCCACAGCGCUACAGCCAUGCACAGUAGGCGUCUUUCUGUUACCAUGGCAAUGACGUCUUCCGUUUUCCGGUGAGGCGACAGGGUGUCCCAUUCCUGACGAUCGCAUUUAUACCCUCCCCCUUCAAUAAUAGGUGCCCGCCACAGCUGCGAGUGUGACUUCUUUUGGAGUGACACUCGGUAGUGGAGGGGGAGUGUGUAGGGCGCGGUUUGGGAUUCAGCCCCGGAGUUACGCGCGUGCACCGCAAGUCUGAAAAGACAGCAUCAAUGGAACCCCGAUUCGACGAGUCACCAUGGAAACGGGGAAGCGAAAGGCUGCGUUUUUGAACUGGAAGUUUUUAACGCGCUCAUAUGGCGAGUUUGAACACGUUUUUAGAAAGAAGUGCAACACCGCUGCAGCUGCAAAAGAGAGAGAGACGGCGUAGAGAACACUGCUGCCCGUAUCAAUGCGAUGAAGAGGAUGAAACUGUGUCUGCUGCCUUUACAGAGGGGGAUCCAGACAGGCAUAUAGAGAGCAUGGCUGGACAGCAGCAGGAUGGUCCCUCAUCUUCCACUGCACAGACUGACACAGUGAGAUGGAUGUUCAGGAAACACCAGAGGUUCAUUCUGUGGAAUUCAUGUGCAACUGUAUAACUGAAUGUCCUCUAUGUAUUCCCAGUUAUCAGUAAAACGGAUUUACAAACUGCAUUUGCUGAGAAAAAUCCAAAAAACAGAUUAGGAGGGCAGAUCUGGAAAUUGAAAGACUGGAGCACAAGUUAGAGGUGGUGAUGGUCACAGGUGAAUUAUGUUAACUACUGGAACAUGAACUGAACUAUCUGUUUUAUUUGUAGGAAAUAAAGAAGAGCAAAUGAAA